CAGCACCUCAAGUGGUCAGGAUGAUUAUUGGGCCCAAAGCAUCCGUAGCCGGCGCUGUAAGUUUUCGGUUAAAUCUGUACGCUCAACGUACAGGCUGCCGGGAAUACUGCAGCGCUAGGGAGUGGGAGAGGUAGACGGUACUCGGUAGGAAGGGGUAAAAUCCUUUGAUCUAUUGAUGACCACCUGUGGCGAAGGCGGUCUACCAGAACACGUCCGACGGUGAGGGAUGAAAGCUUGGGUAGCGAACCGGAUUAGAUACCCGAGUAGUCC
RNAcentral lists this ribosomal RNA (270 nucleotides) under uncultured archaeon. Its description in RNAcentral is "partial 16S ribosomal RNA". It matches the Rfam family "Archaeal small subunit ribosomal RNA", at positions 477 to 747 of the family's 1478-position model. The record is from RNAcentral.